AGGCAGGUGAUGGAGCCCGUGGGUGGCAGCACGUUGCUGGCCCCUGCCACCAGCCCUCGGCCUCGCCUGCUGUGCCCUGGUUCCCCACCUCGGGUCUCAAGGAGCCCCCGACCUGGCCGAAAAUGAACUUGGGGCAGCUGGAAGGCGAGGAAGAAGGGAAGAGAAAAUACCCCCGCAGGAUGCCGUGCAGACAGAUUUCCUUUCUUAGGUCUCUGCUUCCCAACUUUGUGCUCCCCGAGGCCAUCCUGGAAAUGGAAGGAGGAGCUGGGUCUCCAUCCUCUGCUUCCCCACCCUGCCACGGUGCUGUGAGCGGGCUGAAAUCGCCACCAGCCACGGGAGAGACCCAGGGACCCAUCCUCCACCUCCAAAGCCCCUUCCUUGUGCGCCCUGCCCUGCGCUCAGCAGCACCACGCACUCGCUCCCCUCCCUGGGAUUUUUUUUUCCCUACCCAACGGUGCAGCCUUCGCUGCUCAAUUCCUGCCCGAACUUCCAGGGCAAGUUUGUAUUCAGACAGAAAGCAGGUGGAGAAGGGAGGAUGGCAGCAGAAGCACGGGGCAGCGAACACAAAGCAGGACAGUGCCACGGGGGAACGGGAGAAGAUCCCACAGCAGAGGAUGGGUCAGGGGAAGAGCACGAAGUUUCGGGCACCCCAGCCUGGCCGAGUGGCUGUGGGGCCUCUCCUGAGAGGUGGCACUUGGUCCCAAGCAGCUGUAGCUCAGGGUUCCCCUCCACACCAAGCUGAACCAUUUGGGGACACCGAGUGACGUCCUGGCAAUGCCGUGUGGUGCUGCCUGGGAUGGGUUUCUGGUUGCUGUGCCGGGUGGAGGAGCCCUGCUGCUUGCUGCUCACACCCAUUACCCAUCUCACAUCCAUCACCUCUCCCUCCACCACCCCGAGCGACCAGAAGCGUUCCCCAGCCCCCAGCGCAGCGUUUCCAGCCCAGAGGAGAGCUGUGCUGAGGUCACUCCUCCAGGCAUCACCAUUUUGUGCCACGUUGCCUUUAGUUGCCAGAAAAGAUGGAAAUCGUAGCAUGGGUUUCACUCAGGCAAUGCUGCUCCUCAGACUACGUGGCUCCUUGGGUGGAAGGGGACGGAGCUCCCCACCUCCUGUCCUUGCUCUGCAGCCACACACGCGCACGGUCAGGGCAAGCUGGGUGUCAGACGGCCACGCAGGACCGGGGCAAUCACCUCCAGGGGCCCUUUGGGCAUCUCCCAGGCCCUCGUGGUGGAUGGAGCUGGCAGCGUGGAGGUUCAGCCACGUGCAGAAGUCAGCGAGACAUCGCCGCCGCCACCGGUGAGCCCCCCGUGGUCUCCACAAAGCCCAGGGUGAGGGUCUGCCACCGGGACGUCUCCAAAACCUUGCAGAUGUUGCCACGAGCCGCAGCACAGACUUUAGGGGAAGCUCCAUGGGAUCUGGUGAGCGCAGCAGGGAGGGUCCGGAGCUGCCUCGCCCCGUGCCAAAGCCUUCAGGGGCCGUGGGGUGGGGGGCUCGGGGGGCUCGGGGCCCCACGUCCCAGCGAAGGGACCCGCGCGGUGCCAGCCUCGGGCGUCCCGCAGCGCCACCGCGCCUCCUGCCUCUGCUCACCGACCACUCCAUAAAUAAAUACGUUAAAUAAAUAAAGUGACA
RNAcentral lists this long non-coding RNA (1626 nucleotides) under Anas platyrhynchos platyrhynchos (common mallard). RNAcentral describes it as "lncRNA (ENSAPLG00000018263.1)". Lineage: Eukaryota; Metazoa; Chordata; Aves; Anseriformes; Anatidae. The record is from RNAcentral.